GCCCAACGGCCACAAACUGCCCAACUGCCCAACGGCUGCCGUGCUGUGCCUGUGGCCCCUCUGCUUCUACAGCACGGGCUGUGCUUGCUUUCACAUCUCUUGGGUGUUGACAUAGCUCCUGUCUUCAAUAGAAAGGUCUCAGCAUGGACCGUAGGAAGAAUAAAACUGACGGAGGGAAGGAAGAGGAGUAUUUAGUGCAAAAUAGUUCUCCAACCGUUGAGUCACCUUCCACUGUAGCUGUAGCAGAGUACAGUAACCAUCAAUCCACUCUCACUGUCUCUGGGAGUCUGCCACCAAACCAAGAAGGGAUACAAAGCAUCACAAGUGAAACACAUAGCAUGGCAGAGGCAAAGAAUACUGCAGGACAGAUGCAAGAUCUCCAGUCUCACCGAAAUAUUUCUUCAAAAGGUUUUGAUGCCAGUGUCAGCUCCAGUAGUGGUAAUCAAUCAGAGCCAGAGCAUGCUGAAAAUGUGUUUAGAGGCCAAAAAAACCUUCAAAAAGCUCAGGGAAGAGACAGGUCCUCCAAAAAGCAGAAAACAAGCCUCAAAACAUCAGUGAACAUCAAAAAGAAGAAUAAAAGUAGCAAUUUAUUUAUGGCUGUGAUUCUAAAGCAAUAAGUGCACUGCUGUCGUGAUCCAGUUGGAGAGUAGAGUGGACUAUGGCUAUACGAACCUUGAGCAGCUGGAUCGUAUUCAAGAAUCUCCUUCCAGGAAGUGUGUCCCUACCCUACCUCCUUAUGUUCACGCACACACACAAUCAGUUAAAUACCUGCCAGUUUUUGUGAUGGAUUGUGGAGCCACAGUCUCCUACUUUUAUCAACCUUCUAGGUCUGUAGGACUUUAGUUCCCAUAAAUCCACAGAACAGAUCUGAGUCUACGUGCACAACAACAAACUGGCCGGUGUUUCCAGUGCAAGGUUUCCCUUUCCCAGCAUGCCAGAAUUAGAGGGGCCCCAUUACAGACCUGUUUUGCGGUCCUGCACCUGGGCACCCGUGGUGCAGAGAGCUGUGUGCCAAGCUGCUACACCAGGAUGGAUUAUGUCAUGUUAGAGUGAGACAGCUCCUGCUGACUUGCAAAAUUUGAGUAGCACCGAGCGCAUAACAGUUCUCCAAGCAAAAAUGCAGGAAAUCCGGAAACGCUACCGGUUGCUGAAAGCUGAGUUGGCUGCCAUUGACCGGAAAAAGCGUUUAAAGAAAAAAAAAGAGCUGGAAAGGGCUGCUGCCACAUCAAGUUCUUCACCAAAUGGAAUGCCAGGGGAAUGCAGAAAGCAAAAGUGUGGCCCAGCAUUAAUGCACCAGUCAAAACAAAGCUGAAUUUUGAUUCCUGUUCAUUAUGGUAGCUCAAAAAUGUCAAAGCAAGCUCCUGAAAAUAUUUGCUGGCUCCUUUUAUCAACUGCCUCAAGGUCAGAUUCAUAGGAAUUGAAACUGGAAUAAAUAUUCUAGUGUUCUCUGCUUA
Passer domesticus (house sparrow) is the source of this 1454-nucleotide RNA transcript. It is a transcript of the gene named AT-rich interactive domain-containing protein 4B-like, with no coding region annotated. The record is from RefSeq and is a predicted model, not a curated record. The transcript has 7 exons. Lineage: Eukaryota; Metazoa; Chordata; Aves; Passeriformes; Passeridae.